GAUGAACGCUGGCGGCGUGCCUAAUACAUGCAAGUCGAGCGAACGGACGAGAAGCUUGCUUCUCUGAUGUUAGCGGCGGACGGGUGAGUAACACGUGGAUAACCUACCUAUAAGACUGGGAUAACUUCGGGAAACCGUAGCUAAUACCGGAUAAUAUUUUGAACCGCAUGGUUCAAAAGUGAAAGACGGUCUUGCUGUCACUUAUAGAUGGAUCCGCGCUGCAUUAGCUAGUUGGUAAGGUAACGGCUUACCAAGGCAACGAUGCAUAGCCGACCUGAGAGGGUGAUCGGCCACACUGGAACUGAGACACGGUCCAGACUCCUACGGGAGGCAGCAGUAGGGAAUCUUCCGCAAUGGGCGAAAGCCUGACGGAGCAACGCCGCGUGAGUGAUGAAGGUCUUCGGAUCGUAAACUCUGUUAUUAGGGAAGAACAUAUGUGUAAGUAACUGUGCACAUCUUGACGGUACCUAAUCAGAAAGCCACGGCUAACUACGUG
Molecule: ribosomal RNA, 496 nt
Filed under: uncultured bacterium
Lineage: Bacteria
Description: partial 16S ribosomal RNA
Rfam family: Bacterial small subunit ribosomal RNA
Source: RNAcentral